RNAcentral lists this transfer RNA (75 nucleotides) under Tenericutes bacterium ADurb.Bin140. Its description in RNAcentral is "tRNA-Val". It matches the Rfam family "tRNA". From Rfam's summary of the family: Transfer RNA (tRNA) molecules are approximately 80 nucleotides in length. Their secondary structure includes four short double-helical elements and three loops (D, anti-codon, and T loops). RNAcentral also lists the same sequence under 2 other names. The record is from RNAcentral. Lineage: Bacteria; Bacillati; Mycoplasmatota.
GGAACUAUAGCUCAGUGGGAGAGCAUUUGCUUGACGUGCAAAGGGUCGGGGGUUCAAGUCCCUCUAGUUCCACCA